GAAAUGCGAUAAGUAGUGUGAAUUGCAGAAUUCAGUGAAUCAUCGAAUCUUUGAACGCACAUUGCGCCCCUUGGUAUUCCAUGGGGCAUGCCUGUUCGAGCGUCAUUUGUACCUUCAAGCUAUGCUUGGUGUUGGGUGUUUGUCCUCUCCCCUGCGUUUGGACUCGCCUUAAAGUCAUUGGCAGCCUGUAUAUUGGUUUUGAGCGCAGCACAUUUUGCGUCUUGCAUCUAGUAAUACUAGCAUCCAUCAAGCCCAUUAUCACUUUUGACCUCGGAUCAGGUAGGGAUACCCGCUGAACUUAA
Molecule: unclassified non-coding RNA, 302 nt
Filed under: soil metagenome
Also listed under: 1 other name
Description: partial contains 5.8S ribosomal RNA, internal transcribed spacer 2, and large subunit ribosomal RNA
Rfam family: 5.8S ribosomal RNA (bases 1-105)
Source: RNAcentral